This 62-nucleotide transfer RNA is filed under the name Hypochilus thorelli. RNAcentral describes it as "tRNA-Thr". The record is from RNAcentral. Lineage: Eukaryota; Metazoa; Arthropoda; Arachnida; Araneae; Hypochilidae.
UAUUAAUUAGUUUAAGUAAAAUAGAAAUUUUGUAAGUUUCAGAUCUAAAAGAAGAAAAAAUU